AAAACUAACUCUGUGGAGUACCUUGUCUGCAUAAAUAAUCCACCCUUUUAUCUCUUUUGCAACCUUUUCCAAUCCGAUCCUGUUUGACGUGUCAAAAUUCUGACAGGUUAAUCCUGUCAUUUGGUGUACAUUUUCUUCGAUGCUCAAUUGUUGCGGUGUCAAACAGCCCCCAAGCAAUUCUCCAUCUGCUCCAUUUGCAAACUGAUCUUCUUCAACUUUCUUGCCAGUCCGUUAAAAGAAUAAUGAUUUCUCAGGCGAGAAAUCGAAGCAGUGGUCAUCUUUCUGAUAUUGUUUCUCUAAUUCGGCAAUCUGUCAGCCAGUCAUCAGCUUCAUAAAUCAAGUCUUUGAUCCUAAUCAUUUUCAACUUCAGAGCUUUCUUCUUAUUUUUGAGGGUCUUGUGUCAUUGAUGAAGGCCCUCAUAAACUCAAGUUGUGUAAUCAUUCUUCAAACUGA
Molecule: long non-coding RNA, 453 nt
Organism: Populus euphratica (Euphrates poplar)
Lineage: Eukaryota; Viridiplantae; Streptophyta; Magnoliopsida; Malpighiales; Salicaceae
Exons: 3
Source: RefSeq, a predicted model, not a curated record